This 497-nucleotide ribosomal RNA is filed under the name uncultured bacterium. Its description in RNAcentral is "partial 16S ribosomal RNA". It matches the Rfam family "Bacterial small subunit ribosomal RNA", at positions 28 to 507 of the family's 1533-position model. The record is from RNAcentral.
GAUGAACGCUGGCGGCGUGCCUAAUACAUGCAAGUCGAGCGAACGGACGCGAAUCUUGCUUCUCUGAUGUUAGCGGCGGACGGGUGAGUAACACGUGGAUAACCUACCUAUAAGACUGGGAUAACUUCGGGAAACCGGAGCUAAUACCGGAUGAUAUUUUGCACCGCAUGGUUCAAAAGUGAAAGUCGGUCUUGCUGUCACUUAUCGAUGGUUCCCGGCUGCAUUAGCUGGUUGGUAAGGUAACGGCUUACCAAGGCAAGGAUGCAUAGCCGACCUGAGGGGGUGAUCGGCCACCCUGGAACUGAGACACGGACCAGACGCCUACGGGAGGCAGCAGUAGGGAACCUGCCGCAAUGGGCGAAAGCCUGACGGAGCAACGCCGCGUGAGUGAUGAAGGUCUUCGGAUCGUAAAACUCUGUUAUUAGGGAAGAACAGAUGUGGAAGUAACUGUGCACAGCGUGACGGUACCUAAUCAGAAAGCCACGGCUAACUACGUG